AUGGGAGGAGGCAACGGCCAAAAGGCAAAGAUGGCUCGGGAGAGGAACCUCGAGAAGCAGAAGGGCGGCAAGGGGAGCCAACUUGAAACCAACAAGAAAGCCAUGUCGAUCCAGUGCAAAGUGUGCAUGCAAACAUUUAUCUGCACCACAUCAGAAGUCAAGUGCAAGGAGCAUGCUGAGGCGAGACACCCUAAAUCUGAUCUCUUCACAUGUUUUCCUCAUCUUAAACCCUGA
Molecule: non-coding RNA, 234 nt
Organism: Vicia faba (fava bean)
Lineage: Eukaryota; Viridiplantae; Streptophyta; Magnoliopsida; Fabales; Fabaceae
Source: the annotation of a GenBank genome assembly